GCCGGAAUGGCGGAAUUGGCAGACGCACAGGACUUAAAAUCCUGCGGUCUUUAUCGAUCGUGCCGGUUCGAUUCCGGCUUCCGGCACCA
This 89-nucleotide transfer RNA is filed under the name Clostridiales bacterium. RNAcentral's name for it is "tRNA-Leu". It matches the Rfam family "tRNA". From Rfam's summary of the family: Transfer RNA (tRNA) molecules are approximately 80 nucleotides in length. Their secondary structure includes four short double-helical elements and three loops (D, anti-codon, and T loops). Lineage: Bacteria; Bacillati; Bacillota; Clostridia; Eubacteriales. The record is from RNAcentral.